This 292-nucleotide ribosomal RNA is filed under the name uncultured bacterium. Its description in RNAcentral is "partial 16S ribosomal RNA". It matches the Rfam family "Bacterial small subunit ribosomal RNA", at positions 505 to 796 of the family's 1533-position model. The record is from RNAcentral.
GUUUCAGCAGCCGCGGUAAGACGGAGGGUGCAAACGUUGUUCGGAAUCACUGGGCAUAAAGCGCACGUAGGCGGUCCGCUAAGUCAUGUGUGAAAUCCCCCGGCUCAACCGGGGAAUUGCACUUGAUACUGGCGGGCUCGAGGAUGGUAGGGGUGAGUGGAACUCCAGGUGGAGCGGUGAAAUGCGUAGAUAUCUGGAGGAACACCGGUGGCGAAAGCGGCUCACUGGACCAUGACUGACGCUGAGGUGCGAAAGCUAGGGUAGCAAACGGGAUUAGAAACCCUCGUAGUCC